Non-coding RNA from Amphiprion ocellaris (clown anemonefish), 71 nucleotides. The record is from the annotation of a RefSeq genome assembly. NCBI's taxonomy places the organism in Eukaryota, Metazoa, Chordata, Actinopteri, Pomacentridae.
GCUGUGAUGGCCGAGUGGUUAAAGUGUUGGAUUUGAAAUUCCAUGUACAGGUUCAAAUCCUGUUCACAGCA